This 301-nucleotide ribosomal RNA is filed under the name uncultured bacterium. Its description in RNAcentral is "partial 16S ribosomal RNA". It matches the Rfam family "Bacterial small subunit ribosomal RNA", at positions 509 to 807 of the family's 1533-position model. The record is from RNAcentral.
CAGCAGCCGCGGGAAUACGAGGGGGGCAAGCGUUGUUCGGAAUUAUUGGGCGUAAAGGGUGCGUAGGCGGCUUGACAAGUCUUGUGUGAAAUCUAUGGGCUCAACCCAUAGUCUGCACGGGAAACAGUCGGGCUUGAGAAUGGGAGAGGUGAGUGGAAUUUCCGGUGUAGCGGUGAAAUGCGUAGAUAUCGGAAGGAACACCUGUGGCGAAAGCGGCUCACUGGACCAUUUCUGACGCUGAUGCACGAAAGCUAGGGGAGCAAACAGGAUUAGAUACCCCCGUAGUCCCUGUCUCUUAUAC